UACGUAGGGUGCAAGCGUUGUCCGGAAUUAUUGGGCGUAAAGAGCUCGUAGGCGGUCUGUCGCGUCUGGUGUGAAAAUCCAGGGCUUAACCCUGGACCUGCAUCGGGUACGGGCAGACUAGAGUGCGGUAGGGGAGAUCGGAAUUCCUGGUGUAGCGGUGAAAUGCGCAGAUAUCAGGAGGAACACCGGUGGCGAAGGCGGAUCUCUGGGCCGUAACUGACGCUGAGGAGCGAAAGCAUGGGGAGCGAAUAGG
RNAcentral lists this ribosomal RNA (253 nucleotides) under uncultured bacterium. RNAcentral describes it as "partial 16S ribosomal RNA". It matches the Rfam family "Bacterial small subunit ribosomal RNA", at positions 524 to 776 of the family's 1533-position model. The record is from RNAcentral.